RNAcentral lists this unclassified non-coding RNA (200 nucleotides) under soil metagenome. RNAcentral describes it as "partial contains internal transcribed spacer 2 and large subunit ribosomal RNA". The record is from RNAcentral.
GAUCCACUUGAUCCAACAAGUCAUUCAUUUGAUUUGCUGUUGAUCAUUUGGAUCGACAUUGGGCUUUUAUCAUUAAUCGUCCUGAAUUCAUACACGGAUUGCUCGUGAUAAAGGGAGUGCUUGCACUUGUUAUAUCCAUCGAUCAAUCAUCCACCUCUAUUAAUGAUCUUAAAUCAGGCAAGACUACCCGCUGAACUUAA